This 182-nucleotide ribosomal RNA is filed under the name Cuculus poliocephalus poliocephalus. Its description in RNAcentral is "partial 12S rRNA". The record is from RNAcentral. Lineage: Eukaryota; Metazoa; Chordata; Aves; Cuculiformes; Cuculidae.
CACCGCGGUCAUACAAGAAGCCCAAAUUAACCGUAACACGGCGUAAAGAGUGGUAUGCGCAUUAUCAUAACAUCUAAGAUCAAAAUAUAGCUGAGCCGUCAUAAGCCUAAGCUAUACUUAAAACCGCCAUUAAAAUGAUCUUAGUAAAUUCUUGAUAGACCAGAGCCACCAAAGCUAGGGCA